AAGGUUUGGACUUUUAUAUUUCAAUUCAUUUCGAUCACAUUUGUGGUUGAUCAUGCAGUACCAUAUUUAUAUGAGCAUCAGCCUAUAAUGCGGUAGCAAAGAUUCAUAGACAAAUUGGUGUUGAUUUUUGGACUUUUGUGAUGGGAAAAAACAUUGUCUUUUGCUACGUGAUCAUGACCAAAAUUACCACCUCUGCUUGUAGCCAUUUUGGUAAAAGAACUUAUCUGAUUGCUUGCUAUUAUGUUGUUUUAAAAUGAAAAUUGUUGGAUCAUGAAGAGAGUGUAUAUUUAUGAUACUUACCAUGUUAGUGUUGUAACAUUGGGACUGCUGUUAGAGUUGAAUGCUUUCGCUGGGCACAUCUGGUUCUUGCAUGACCAUAUUUAUUUGUUCCUGACCUGCCUAGGCUAAGAUGGUUGAGACUAAUUUUUCUCUGUGACAAUAUUUUAAAUGUGCGUGUGGCUUUUGCGUUUUGCAUCCCAUGCAUAUUGAAGUUACUCGUAUCGAUGGGGUUAUUAUUCUUUGCCUUUUUACUUGGGUAUAAAACCAUAUAGAUCUUACUUUCUAAGUAUCUAUGACAAUAAAGUGAAUACGAUUAAAUAGAAUCAACUCUUACAAGGUGAAUCGCAUAUACCAUAUGGUGUUCUAAACCCAAAGUGAAUCAACCCUUUAGCUGGGUACAUCUGGUUCUUGCAUGACCAUAUUUAUUUGUUCCUGACCUGCCUAGGCUAAGAUGGUUGAGACUAAUUUUUCUCUGUGACAACAUUUUAAAUGUGAGUGUGGCUUUUGAGUUUUGCAUCCCAUGCAUAUUGAAGUUUACUCGUAUUGAUGGAGUUAUUAUUUUUUGCCUUUUUAUUUGGGUAUAAAACCAUAUAGAUCUUAUUUUCUAAGUAUCUAUGACAAUAAAGUGAAUAUGAUUAAAUAGAAUCAACUCUUACAAGGUGAAUGGCAUAUACCAUAUGGUGUUCUAAACCCAAAGUGAAGUUGGCUGCCUUCCAAUGAUAUUGAUUGUUUAGAGUACCAACAAAAAGGCAAGUUCUUUUUUUUUUUUGGUGCUACUCUAUUGGAAAUUAUAGAUGAGGAAGGAACGAGUUUAAAGAAGAUGGAUGAAAAGAAACAAGACAGCUGAUGAUGAUCUUUAAUGUGAUGAUAAGCACUUCUAUUUUUUCCCAGAAUGGCUCAUGGAGUAUAUUUCAAGUUGCUGUUGAUCUUUGUGGGAGUAUGUCUUUUGAUGGUUGCUAUUGUUGUUUUUGCAAAAUAAUCUUAGUAGUUGGCAGUUGUCUUCCUUGCUAUUUAAUUUACCUUGAAGGCAGUUUUGUUUGGGAUGAUUUCUUUGUACUCGGUCACUUAUGGUGAGCUGUUUUAGUUGUUGAUCUUCUUUUAGUAUUCAUGUUUUGUUAAGUACCUUUUUUAAUGCCUCCUUAAGCAAAUUAUUAGUGUUUAUAAAGUAGUAUAAUUAUACAAGUUCUAUUAGAUUUAUUUUUAGAUGAGUUGGAUCCUUAUACCUACCUGCGCUCUGAAAACCUUUGGCAACCAUGAGAUUCACUAAAUGUUCUAAUCUUAAAAGAUAAUGGAUUUAUUAAGAAUUUGUUUGAAAUUUUCGGAUUGUGAAAUAUUCCAUGCAUUUGGAAGAGUUUGUUAAUGAAUAUUCUUUGCAUUCUAGAAUCUAGAUACCACAAGGAAUUGAUGUUUGCAGACAUGUUCUGAGGUUGAGUUGGGAUCUUAGAUUGUUUUCCUGGUUUCUCAUUUCUGUGUUUUCACAUUGUUA
This 1765-nucleotide long non-coding RNA is filed under the name Manihot esculenta (cassava). RNAcentral's name for it is "long non-coding RNA (MESC_LNC006354)". The record is from RNAcentral. Lineage: Eukaryota; Viridiplantae; Streptophyta; Magnoliopsida; Malpighiales; Euphorbiaceae.